RNAcentral lists this ribosomal RNA (702 nucleotides) under Triticum aestivum (bread wheat). RNAcentral describes it as "partial small subunit ribosomal RNA". Lineage: Eukaryota; Viridiplantae; Streptophyta; Magnoliopsida; Poales; Poaceae. The record is from RNAcentral.
AUGCUCAAAAUAGAUUUGGCUAAAGCUUUCGACAGGUUAGAAUGGCACUUCAUCACCUCGGCUUUACAACGUAAAGGGUUGCAUGGCCAUUUCAUAAAGCUUAUCCAUGCCUGUAUCUCCUCGCCGACUUUUUCUGUUAACAUAAAUGGACAAUCUUUUGAGCACUUUAAAAGUAGUCGAGGUAUCAGGCAGGGGUGUCCCCUCUCUCCUUUGCUAUUUGUGCUUGCAGUGAAUGAACUAUCGUUGGCACUUCAGGAUGCACUUCAAUCCAACCACCUGGCAGGUAUCUCACUUGGACCGGGAUGCCCUCCUAUCCACUAUUUAAUGUUUGCCGAUGAUUUGUUGGUUUGUGGAAAAGCUAAUGUACAGGAGGCAUCUACUAUCUCCAAUAUUUUACAUCAGUUUUGUCAGCAUUCGGGUCAGCUCCCCAAUUGGAACAAAUCUGCCAUUCUUUUUAGUAAACAUGUGUCUUUGCAGGCUAAACAAGAUCUCAAGCAAUUUUUUCAGGUGCCAGACUUGGAUGCCAACACCAUUCAUCUUGGUCAUCCACUCAUCCUGCCUGCAAAGGAGAGAUCUGCAGCCUACAACUUUGUUUAUGAUAAAUUCAAAUCCAAACUUUCAGCUUACAAGGCGAACAGACUCUCCCAUGCUGCAAGACUCACUCUUAUAUGUCUAAUAUUCUUUUUUCUAAGAAGUUCCUAG